This is a long non-coding RNA of Octopus bimaculoides (California two-spot octopus), 1256 nucleotides long. RefSeq lists it as uncharacterized. NCBI's taxonomy places the organism in Eukaryota, Metazoa, Mollusca, Cephalopoda, Octopoda, Octopodidae. The record is from RefSeq and is a predicted model, not a curated record.
UAGCGUUUCGAAAUGAUUUAUUUAUUCCAUAUUCAUAAAAGCUUCUUAUUAUGAGCAUGAUCUUAAAAUUUGUACAAUGAAGAAAGGACUCAGCUUCCGGUCCUAUAUUCCCAGAAUAUCUUGGGAUCGUUCGAUUAUCCUACUAUUAUUGACGGCGGCGAUAUUUUCAUUCGUUGCUGGCUCCAUAAUAUCAAUAUGGAACAAUCCGCAGCAGUAUUGUCAAACCAUUUACCAGGUACCAUUUCGUGAAUUUUCAAUUAACAUUGCAUGAUUUCUAUUAACUUUGUAAAAUGUAUACGCACAGGCGGGGCUAUGUGGUAAGCAGUGUGCUUCCCAACUACCUGGUUCCAGGUUCAGUCUCUGCGUGGAACUUUGGGCGAUUGUCUUCAACUAUAGUCCCGGACCAAACAAUCAAAGCCUCGUGAGUGGAUAUGGUACACAGAAACUGGAAGAAGCCCAUUACACACACACACACACACACACACACACAUGGUUCAAAUGUACAGAAAACAAAAGACAAAGACAAGUGAGGGAACAAUAAGCAGGUGUAUUAGUUUGACGCUUGGGAAGAAUGGAAAAAUCUUUGACGUUUCGAGCUUACGCUCUUCGACAGAUAUGUAAGUGUGUCUGUGUUUGUGUAUGUCUUCUAAUACCGUUUCACAACCGGUGUUGAUUUGUUCUCAUAACUUAGCAGUUCAGCAAAUUGAACUGAUAGAAUAAGUACCAGUCUUCCAAAAGAAGAAAAGUACUGGGGUCGAUUUGUUCGACAAAAACCCUUCCAGGCUUUGCCCUAGCAUGGUCACAUUCAGCGACUGAAACGAAUAAAGUGAAAUUAAGCCGCUAGAAACUGCCGAACCACGUCUAUGUCGCUUGUGUACUCGUAAUUCAGAAGAUAUAUUAUAUUUUUCACAAACGACAGAAUUUUUUCACAGAGAAAAUAGGUCCGGCAGAAAAACGUUUUCGAGACUGUAAUGCACAGUUUAAAGGUUGUGCUGAAAGCUUCCACUAACACCGAACAAUGGGCAAACACUUCAGAAUCGAGAUAUUAAGAAACUAAUUUUCAAUACCGAAGCAACAAGUAAAAGAAAAAUGAAAAACUCUAGGCAAAAACAUUUAUGGUGAAAAAUAUCCACGUUGAAGUAGAAAAGGAUUUUAAAACGAAAUGUUUGUCUUUAUUCUAACAAAAAAUAGAAUAAAUGAAAUCAAUUAAGCAGUCAGAAGCGGUAAUUACGUUAGAAAUGUAAUGAUUUAUCUAA